AAGUCGAACGUGAAAGUUCCUUCGGGAGCGAGUAAAGUGGCGCACGGGUGAGUAACACGUGGAUAAUCUACCGGGAAGUUGGGGAUAACGACUGGAAACGGUCGCUAAUACCGAAUACGCUGUUCUAUUUGUUUAGGACAGGAAAGGAGGCCUCUGCAUAUGCUUCCGCUUUUCGAUGAGUCCGCGUCCCAUUAGCUGGUUGGCGGGGUAAAGGCCCACCAAGGCGACGAUGGGUAGCUGGUCUGAGAGGAUGAUCAGCCACACUGGGACUGGAACACGGCCCAGACUCC
This 290-nucleotide ribosomal RNA is filed under the name uncultured bacterium. Its description in RNAcentral is "partial 16S ribosomal RNA". It matches the Rfam family "Bacterial small subunit ribosomal RNA", at positions 59 to 339 of the family's 1533-position model. The record is from RNAcentral.